Molecule: long non-coding RNA, 1285 nt
Organism: Cyprinus carpio carpio
Lineage: Eukaryota; Metazoa; Chordata; Actinopteri; Cypriniformes; Cyprinidae
Source: Ensembl
GUGAUAUGAAGAGACACAGAGGAGACUGUUGGCAAAGAAAUUGUUAAAGUCGUUAUUUUUGUUUUCUUCGCUUACAAAAAGUGUUCCUGUCGCUUCAUAUAACCCAGAUUGCACGUCUGAUGACAGAUGGAGUAUUCUGACAACGACUUUCUUACCUUUUAUGGACCUUAACACUGUUAUAUACUUGACAGUCUAUGGGACAGUCACAGGCCUCCCGAUUUUCAUCCAAAAUAUAAAUUUUCAGUUUAGGGUAGAGUAUCCCUUUAAGGUUUACCUUCAUUCAAAAACUCUUGAGUUAUUGGGCUGCAAUUACUUUGUUUCGGACACAGCCAAUCUGUCAUUCUCUUUCUGUGUCAAACAGCACUAUGAUUCUCACUCCCAGGUUUCUUGUUCUCAGAAAGGGGCACAGGAAGUGACAUGAGGAUAAUGCUCUCUGCUACCCGCCUCAUGCAACGUUCCUCCUUACAGAUGCACAUUUCUCUCUCUCUCUCUCUCUCCAACUCUGCAAGAGCACUUGAACUCUGUCACUCCUGCCAAAAUUGCACAACCUUCCAAGGAGUCAGGUAGAGGUACUUUGGGAGCCAUCAUUGGAAGAUCCUUCAGGAAUAUCAGUGUGUCUGUUGGGCGAGUGGUGUAUGAAACCAGCAAAGACACACUCUUUGAGACGGUAGACCAAUAUCUGAGUGUGGCUGGAAGACUUAUCACGUGUUCUCAUUCAGGGUGGCAUGGGAGGGAGUUUUUAUUUGUUGAUUUGUUUAUUUGUACGAAAUGUAACUGACACACAAUGUACAGUCCUUUUCCCCCAAUGCUGCAGGGUUACAUUUGAUCCAUGUUCAAAUGUGUCAAGCUGUGUGAUUCAGCCAAAUUUCUUACCUUUGCCUUUCUUACAUUACUGAUGCUGAUGUUUGUAUUCAAAUUCUAUGCGAGAAAAAAAAAGAAGUGCUAAACUCAAGUAUUUUUAAAACAUGGAGAGCAAAAGAUAGGCGAACAUUUCAGGUAUACAGUAUUAGAAGAUUUUUAUGAGAAAUUAUGGUUAGAAUGUUGUCAUAACCCUUAACCUUAACCCCCAUCCCAAUAGCAUGAGCCUCUGAAAAGAUCUUUCUGCUUUCCGACUAAGGCAAAUUAAUCCUGUUAUCGACAAGGGAUUUUACAAACUGACAAUGGGAGAGAUUGUCAAGCAAUUAAAAGUUGGUAAAUUCAGACGUCCAGUGUCUUUUUUUAAAGUGUCAGUUUUUUUGUAGUUGAAAGUAUGUGUAUGUUCAGAAUUGCUUUUCAAGGAUCCAGA